UUAGCUUCAGAAGCAAGUCACCACCAAGCAAGUGGCACUAUGAAGACUAAGGAGCUCUCCAAACAGGUACUGACAGGAGGCGUGACGAGGACGCUGAUCCAGUGGACCUGGUGCCAGUAAGGAUGGUCGUCACGGAGACGAUAAGACCGUCCAGGAUAGAGAAAUCCUUCGACUUCACUGCCUCUUCAAUGACGAUCCCACAGAUGAAGAAGCUGGAAGUGGAGGUCCUGGGCUGUCCUGGUUACA
Oncorhynchus tshawytscha (Chinook salmon) is the source of this 246-nucleotide long non-coding RNA. RefSeq lists it as uncharacterized. Lineage: Eukaryota; Metazoa; Chordata; Actinopteri; Salmoniformes; Salmonidae. The record is from RefSeq and is a predicted model, not a curated record. The transcript is spliced from 3 exons.